AGUAAUACAUCGGAACAUGUCCAUUCGUGGGGGAUAGCCCGGCGAAAGCCGGAUUAAUACCGCAUACGCCCCGAGGGGGAAAGCGGGGGACUUCGCAAGAGGCCUCGCGCGAAUGGGUUGGCCGAUGUCCGAUUAGCUAGUUGGUGGGGUAAAGGCUUACCAAGGCGAUGAUCGGUAGCUGGUCUGAGAGGAUGAUCAGCCACACUGGGACUGAGACACGGCCCAG
RNAcentral lists this ribosomal RNA (226 nucleotides) under uncultured bacterium. RNAcentral describes it as "partial 16S ribosomal RNA". It matches the Rfam family "Bacterial small subunit ribosomal RNA", at positions 109 to 334 of the family's 1533-position model. The record is from RNAcentral.